RNAcentral lists this long non-coding RNA (4052 nucleotides) under Capsicum annuum. RNAcentral's name for it is "long non-coding RNA (CANN_LNC010768)". Lineage: Eukaryota; Viridiplantae; Streptophyta; Magnoliopsida; Solanales; Solanaceae. The record is from RNAcentral.
AGUAAUAAAAAUGUCUUUCCUUAUCAUGUUUGCCAAUAAUGCAUUAUGAAGAUUUUUCUCUUAUAUAAAUGAAUUCAUUUUGCAUGGCAAGGAACUAGAGAGAACACAAACAAGCAAGGAUUAUCUUGCAAGUCCAAAAUUUGUAAAAGAGAGUUUAUUAGUUGAAGGGAGGUGUUAUAUUUUGUGGAACUUUGAAUUCAAUUCUAGUCCAGAGUAUUGAGUUAUAUUAUGUAGGUUGUUGUAUCCUGGAGGGGACAAGUCAAAGAGUGUAACUGUUAGACCGGAGAAACAAUUGCCGCAGUGGGCUUGAAUCUCCUUAAGGAGAGUGAGAUAUCCGCGCCUGAUAUGGGUACGACCACGAGGAUGCACAUAUGUGAGAAUGCAUUGGACCCGUCCAAUAAAGCGUCCAAGUGAAGUGUGGAGAAGACCUUGGAUCACACCAAAACCGACCCUAAACUUGCACUUCAAGGGCGCCCUUGGUCACAUUUCAUUAAAGGGACCUUUUGUUCAUUUUACCUAUUAUUUGUAACACACUAUAAAUAGAAUGAUGUAGGGUUUUAGUCAUUAAUUUUUAUGAAUAUUGAAAGUUGUAGACACUUAGACAUUUCUCUCUUGUGAGAAAGGCCCCUAUGGCCAAACAUUGUAACUAGGGAUUUCAACUUGAGCGUGGAAUCACUCGUGUUGGAUUCAAGCUUGAAAACAUUGGAUACUUGAGAGAUCGAGGCCCCUCUUGAGCCAUGUAAGAGAUAGGUGAUUUGUAGUGUGUAGUUUUAAGGGUUCAAGAGUGAAAUAUGCUCUUGGGUUCUUAAGAUUAUGCCUUCAUGUAGUCUAUCUUUCUAUCCCUUUUGUUUAAUGUAAUCUUUUGUUGUUGUUUCUUGUGUUGUUGAAAUCGUUGGUUAUUAUUAUUGUAAUCCUCUUGUUCUUCAUGUGUUGAUGAUUUUUUGGGUGUUAUAUAAAUCAUUGAAUCUUGUAUUCUUCUUGUUGGUAGCGAAUCCGAGAGUGAUCUCCAAAAAGGUCCUCGGAUCCUUAAGAUUAGUGGGCUGAUUUGGAGUGCGUUUCGUGUUCUCUUUGUUUGUCUUGUAUCAUUUGGUAUCAAAGCAUGCUUGAUCUUGUUACUAAAAGAUCAAUCUUGGGCUUGCUUGAUAGAAAAUUUAAAAAAAAAGUGUUAGAAAACUGAAAAAUUAAAAAGAAGCAAAUCUGUCCAUUUUGUGUUCUUGGCCGAAAUUGUGUUAUUGUUGUGUCUUGGCCGAGAUUUUUACUUGUUUUGUUGUUUCUAGUGCUAUUUUUCUUCAUCUCUAACACUCUUGAGUCUAAAUCUAAGUUUGAUCUUACAUUGUUGGUGUUGUUUUCGUGAACAUAAGGCGUGGCCGAAUUAUUGUUGAAACACUGUUGUGGUAGGCUGUUUUGGCCUUGUGCUCAUCAUCUUGUUGUUGUUCUAAGCUUGGCCACAUGAUAUUGUUUUUCAUUGGUGGCCUAAGAACCAUUUUGUUAAAAUUGUAGUUGUCUUGGCCAAGUGUUGAAGAUAUUGUAUUGUGAAAAUUGGAAGUUGGCCGUGUGAAAAUUGUGGUAUUUUUGGAGAUUGUUGUUGGCUGUUCUUGGUGAUUGUUGAUGUUGUUCUUGAAGUUCUUCACAAACUUCAUAGCUUGUUAAUAUAAAUUGAACAUUAGAUCUAUAAAGGUGAAGGAAAAAGGGGUAAAACUUUGUUAGUCUUGAAAGACUUUCCAUCACUCAUCAAAUAGUCAAUCACAUAUCAACCACUUUCCAACAACCAACCACUUUCCAACAACUUUCCAUAAAACAAGGGUCCAUGUUAUAAGGAAAAGUACAAGAAAGUCAAAGUCUUGAAAACUUGAUUUUGAAAAGGCUACAAGACUUGCUUGAAUUUCCCUCCUUAAAAUAAAAUCCCACCAAUUCCUAAAUUGUAAUUGACCAAGACUUAAAAUUGGACAACAACAACAACAAAAAAAAUUGUUAGAAAUCGCAACCAAUUACGUGCUGCCACGUCAUCAUUGUUACUGUUCACGCAACAUAUUUAAGCUCAAAUUUCAGCUUUCUUAGUUUCCUUUUGUUGUUCCUUAGUUUCAAUUUCGUUGGUUCCAAUACUAAUUAGAAAACUAGUACUCAUCUACUAGAUUGUUAGUUAGUCUUUAUGUUCGUUCAUUCGUGUUAAACUUUUGUUGUGUGCUUUUCUCUUUUGUGAAUUCGUUGUAUCUUGUUGGUUCAAGUCCGUAAAUAAAUUUUCUUUGAGUCAACCCAAACGAAAAUCCAUUCCGAACAAGAGUAGACUCGACCCUUAAUUGCUCAUGAAGUACAAGCCAUCUUUCAACACUUGUGAAACCAGGUGUGAGGUAAAACCAAGAGUGAGAGUGUGGUGAGGCAUUUUGAACUAACAAGUUUGUUUUGUUGUUUUUUGUUGUCCUUUGCUUUAGGUACAAUGGCUACUACUAAUCUUGAUGCCACGUUUGAUCGCAUCAAUGAUGACAUUGAAGAAAUGAAAUGACACGUGGAAAGGCUACACCAAUUGUUACCUAAACUUAUCCCACAAAAUUCAACUUCCCUUGUCCAAACACCUUGUGUCGAGAGCUUCCCGAAGGAAGAGGUGGGCUACCCUGACUCACACCAAGGUAAAGAGGAGAUUGAAACAUCUUUGGUACUUGAUAGUGAACUUAUAGAGAGCGAAGCACUUGCUAGUUCCAAAUCUGUCCGUGAGAUAGAUCAUGUUCUCUUUAGGUUUAAGGUUUUGUUUGAAGAUGAUAUAAACACUCCUAAUGAACCUAGUGGUGAAAAUGAUGGUAUAGCUUGCCUUGAAGGCUAUAGACGAUAUGCUAAACCACUAUGGUGUGACAAUAUUUCUCCUAAAGAUGGAAAUCUCUUCUUGGAAGAUGAGAGUACUCUUAUGGACAGUCUCGGAAAUGGGUACUCUUGGUAGUACUCUUAGUGUGCAUGAUGAUCAAUUUACUCUUAAAUGUAGUUCACUACUUGAGCAUGUGAAUAUGUGCUUAAAAAUUCUCAAGUUAGUGAUGAUCUCUAUAGAAUUGAUCUUGAUAAUGCACAUGACUCUUUGAACAUCUUGUGUGGAAAAAGCAUUGCAAUUAGUUUUGUUCAUAGAGACCAUGUGUAUGAAAAUAUUUUUGUGUGUGAGUGUGGGAGGGACAUUCUAGGGGAAGGAGGUUCUAGCCUCGGCUUAGGUCCUUGGAUAAUUUUUCCAUUUGAUCCUGGCACCCUCUUGAAAUGUGGAAAUCUCUACACUCCCCACUUAAUGCUUGGUCAAGACGACAAGCAAUGUUUGGUUGUGGGUGCUAAUAAAGGAAGACAAAGUUCUUCCUUAUCUCUUUUUUGUGGAUGAUGGCCACUUCCUUUGUGUCUUUUGUACUAAGUUUUUUAUGUUCAACACAAAGGACACAUGGAUAUACUCCAAGUUUGUACCCCCCCUUGGCAUGGAAUAUGAUGUGUUCAUUUUGCUAACCCUAACCCCUCAUGUCUUGAGGUUGUGUACUUGUUGUCUUCUCUUGAUUUUGCGAGGUACGGAUUCGAGGUCGAAUACUUUUUCAAAAAGGGAAGGAUGAUACGGGUACGACCACAAGGAUGCACGUAUAUGAGAAUGCAUUGGACCCGUCCAAUAAAGCAUCCAAGUAAAGUGUGGAGAAGACCUUCGAUCACACCAAAACCGACCCUAAACUUAAACUCCAAGGGCGCCCUUGGUCACAUUUCAUUAAAAGGACCUUUUGGUCAUUUUACCUAUUAUUUGUAACACACUAUAAAUAGAAUAAUGUAGGGUUUUAGUAUUUAGUUUUGAUGAAUAUUGAAAGUUGUAGAAACUUAGACAUUUAUCUCUUGUGAGAAAAGCCCCUAUGGCCAAACAUUGUAACUAGGGAUUUUAACUUGAGUUUGGAAUCACUCGUGUUGGAUUCAAGCUUGGAAACGUUGGAUGCUUGGGAGAUCGAGGUUCCUCUUGUGCCACGUAAGAGAUAGGUGAUUUGUAGUGUGUAGUGUUAAGGGUCCAAGAGUGAAAUAUGCUCUUGGGUUCUUAAGAUUAUGCCUUCAUGUAGUCU